Molecule: ribosomal RNA, 492 nt
Filed under: uncultured bacterium
Lineage: Bacteria
Description: partial 16S ribosomal RNA
Rfam family: Bacterial small subunit ribosomal RNA
Source: RNAcentral
AGUGAACGCUGGCGGUAGGCCUAACACAUGCAAGUCGAACGGCAGCACAGUAAGUUCUUGCCCUUACGGGUGGCGAGUGGCGGACGGGUGAGGAAUACAUCGUAAUCUACUUUUUCGUGGGGGAUAACGUAGGGACACUUACUCUAAUACCGCAUACCACCUACGGGUGAAAGCAGGGGAACUUCGGACCUUGCGCGAUUGAUUGAGUCGAUGUCGGAUUAGCUAGUUGGGGGGUUAAAGGCCCACCAAGGCGCGGAUCCGUAGCUGCUCUGAGAGGGUGAUCAGCUACACGGAAAGUGAGGCACGGUCCACACUCCUACGGGGAGAAGCAGUGCGGAAUAUUAGACAAUGGGGGAAAGCCUGAUACAGCCAUACCGCGUGAGUGAUGAAGGCCUUCGGGUUGUAAAACCCUUUUGUUGGGAAAGAAAAGAAGCCGGUUAAUACCCCGAUGUUCUGACGGUACCCAAAGAAUAAGCAACGGCUAACUUCGUG